AUACGGAGGAUCCGAGCGUUAUCCGGAUUUAUUGGGUUUAAAGGGAGCGUAGGUGGACAGUUAAGUCAGUUGUGAAAGUUUGCGGCUCAACCGUAAAAUUGCAGUUGAUACUGGCUGUCUUGAGUACAGUAGAGGUGGGCGGAAUUCGUGGUGUAGCGGUGAAAUGCUUAGAUAUCACGAAGAACUCCGAUUGCGAAGGCAGCUCACUAGACUGUUACUGACACUGAUGCUCGAAAGUGUGGGUAUCAAACAGGAUUAGAUACCCUGGUAGUCCACACAGUAAACGAUGAAUACUCGCUGUUUGCGAUACACUGUAAGCGGCCAAGCGAAAGCGUUAAGUAUUCCACCUGGGGAGUACGCCGGCAACGGUGAAACUCAAAUGAAUUGACGGGG
RNAcentral lists this ribosomal RNA (393 nucleotides) under uncultured bacterium. RNAcentral describes it as "partial 16S ribosomal RNA". It matches the Rfam family "Bacterial small subunit ribosomal RNA", at positions 523 to 918 of the family's 1533-position model. The record is from RNAcentral.